Molecule: long non-coding RNA, 542 nt
Filed under: Mytilus galloprovincialis (Mediterranean mussel)
Lineage: Eukaryota; Metazoa; Mollusca; Bivalvia; Mytilida; Mytilidae
Source: RNAcentral
UUCCGUGUUUAGUAGUACCCCCCCUUUACCACCCUCUUAUUUGAUCAAAUUUAGAAGAAUGCUGUUGUUUUGACAUUCUAUCAGACUUUUACCAACAGACUUCUCUUAUCUUUCUUUAAUCUAUCUAAAUCAGAUUCAUUUUUUUCACAUGUCUUGUUUAAUGAUUUUAUUUCUACUUUUUGUUGGCCUAGUUCAUUUUGUUUCUCAUCAAUUAUUCUAACUUUUUAAUUUUUUUAUCCCUUCUUCUAAUUUUUCUACUUAUAUUUCUUGGCCCAAAACUUGCCAAUUGCUCAUUCAUAUCUUGCAAUUUAUCUAAAUUGGUGUCUAUCUGGUUUGAUAAGUUAAGUUUAAUUUUUUUCCCAAGAUUUAAAUUCCCUUUUUAGGUGCAAUGUCUCUUUACAUUUUUCCCUGCUAUAUCUAAAAGUCUUAACAAUAUAUGACUCUAAGUCUCAAAAUGUUCAAUUUGCAACUUUAAAUUGUCUAAAUUAAAAUCAGUUUCUUUGAGUUGUCUCUUUAAUUUCACAUUUUCACCAACAGCUCUG